Molecule: non-coding RNA, 108 nt
Organism: Acanthosepion pharaonis
Lineage: Eukaryota; Metazoa; Mollusca; Cephalopoda; Sepiida; Sepiidae
Source: the annotation of a GenBank genome assembly
UUACGGCCACAUCACGUUUAAACACCGGUUCCCGUGCGAUCACCGAAGUUAAGCAACGUCGAGCUUGGUUCGUACCUAGAUGGGUGAUCGCUUACGAAUACUAGGUGC